This 492-nucleotide ribosomal RNA is filed under the name uncultured bacterium. Its description in RNAcentral is "partial 16S ribosomal RNA". It matches the Rfam family "Bacterial small subunit ribosomal RNA", at positions 29 to 507 of the family's 1533-position model. The record is from RNAcentral.
AGUGAACGCUGGCGGUAGGCCUAACACAUGCAAGUCGAACGGCAGCACAGUAAGAGCUUGCUCUUACGGGUGGCGAGUGGCGGACGGGUGAGGAAUACAUCGGAAUCUACUUUUUCGUGGGGGAUAACGUAGGGAAACUUACGCUAAUACCGCAUACGACCUACGGGCGAAAGCAGGGGAUCUUCGGACCUUGCGCGAUUGAAUGAGCCGAUGUCGGAUUAGCUAGUUGGCGGGGUAAAGGCCCACCAAGGCGACGAUCCGUAGCUGGUCUGAGAGGAUGAUCAGCCACACUGGAACUGAGACACGGUCCAGACUCCUACGGGAGGCAGCAGUGGGGAAUAUUGGACAAUGGGCGCAAGCCUGAUCCAGCCAUACCGCGUGGGUGAAGAAGGCCUUCGGGUUGUAAAGCCCUUUUGUUGGGAAAGAAAAGCAGCAGGUUAAUACCCCGCUGUUCUGACGGUACCCAAAGAAUAAGCACCAGCUAACUUCGUG